CACUGCGCUCUAUCCUGCAGGAGUUCUAACAGAAUCAAAAGGUGGCAAGGUAGGAUAAGCAGUUUGAAAUAGUCUAGUGACCUCCAGACAACUUCGGUGACUUCCUCCCUGGGAAAGGUGACAGUAUUGGAAAGCCUGGAGAGGAGGCAAAGGCUUAGAGGACAGGAGGGACACGCAGCACCACAGCAGCAGCAUUGCCCAAUGGCAACACCUUCCAACUCCGGGCACCCCCUUCACCCACAGCGACCCCUACCCCAUGUCCCCUUGGCACUAUCCCCUCCCAGUCCAGGUGCCCCAACUCUGCCGGAGGGUUAUUUUGCCACUUUCCCAAGCACUGAAGUCUGUAACCAGGAGUGGGGGAUGGGAGGGGUGUUGAAAGAAGGAGCCUAACAGCAAUUCAAAUUUAUCUGUGUCUCCAGCACACACCUGACAGUUUUGCAGUCUGGGCCGGGCAAGUCUACAAGAGGUGGGCACUACUUAUGCGUGUGUUAUUGAGAGAGGGUGUCCUUUUUCUUUUUCUUUUCUUUUCUUUCUUUUCUUUUCUUUCUUUUUUUCCUCCAAGAGACUCUAAGCAAGUGAAGGGGGAAGGGGGUAGCAAUACGGAUUCCAAGCCGGACUGCAAACACAGAUGCAAAUGUCUGUCUCCAGACGCUGAUGUAAAGCAUGGGGCAGUUACCUUUGGCAGGGUCAGAACUGCAGCAGGUUAAUCGGGUGAGUCCUCGGGGAUUUUUUUUUUUUUUUAAUUUUUUUUUUUCAAAGCAACCGGGGCCGCCCCGGCUGCUUUUGGUUUAGAAAGUUCUACGACCCCCCCAUGCAGGGACAUCGCACAUCUCACACACGCCUCCUUGAGCUGGGCUCCCGCGACCUCGGCGGGGCGAGGGGGUGGCGGGCGGCCGGCGGGCGGCCAGGGCCCGGCCCCAGGCUGUGUCCCCGCGCGCAGCGGCCCUGCGUGGGCCCCGGGGUCCGCGUCCCGAGCGGCGCAGCACUCACCCAGCCGGGCGGCGAGGGGCCGAGCUGCGCCCGCGGCUAGCCGGAGCGCCCAGGCGCCUCCCUUCGCUCUUGGUAGCGUCGGUCCGCACUCCCUGUGACCCAGGACGUCAUGAUGCCUUCCCUGUUUUCUUAAUGAUAACUUGGCAGAAGAGGAGACAGGCUGCCAGGUUCUCCUCGGGUGGUUGCGUGGCAAAUUCUGUUUGUGCUUCACCAACUCACAAGUCAGUGGAGUGGCCAAAUGGCCCCUCUCCUUGGCAGGCAACUCAAACUCUGCAGAGGUCUGAAUGGAUGAUUGUUUCUUUGCUUGCUUUUUUGUUUGUUUGUUUGUUUGUUUGUUUUGAAGAGGGUCUUAUUAUAUACCUCUGACUGGCCUCAGCCAUUCAGCAAACUUCCUGCCUCAGCCUCCUAAAUGCUGGGAUUACAGAGUGCACCAGCAUACCUAGCCUGCAUAGGUGCUUUGGAAGCCAAUACUCUCCAACUCUUUGAAGAAUGCCUCUCUGUUGCUCAUCCAAGUUCAGACUUGGACUAUAUACAAGGUUUUAUUUUCUACCUCCAUCUUAAACACAAUAGUUAAUAGAGUUGGAGGCUGCUCAGUUUUAACUUCCGAGCCAAACCAGGAAGGACUAAGAAGGCUUGCUAAGGAUCAUGGGACACCCUGAAAACAAGGUUGGAAACUUAGCUGUGUUUGGAACUUGUAAAUCAAAUCCAAUCUCAAACACAAUGGGAGGGGAAGAUGAGGAUUAGCCCUGCCUUACAAAAGAAUAUCCCAGGAUGGAGAAGUGCAGACCUAAAUUACAAGGCUGAGAUUAAAAUUCAAGGGCUCUGAGCUCUUACUAUCAACCUAUUGCUAGCUGCUGGCAUCAGACCCAGACUGGUCCCCCCCAAGGACCAAUCAGGUUGGUGAACACUACCCUCUCACAGUCUCAAAGCCCCUCACCCUUUCUCCAGCAUGCCAGGCCUUCCCUUUGCCUCUUUAAAUUCAAUUCCUUGUUCCAGUUCUACCCAUGGAUGAAGGCCAAGGUCCAAGCCCACUGGAUCCACCACGAUGUUAUUUACAAGCUUUCUGCUCUUCUACAGUUCUUCAGUGUUCACUGCUGCAUAGAACAUGAAUGUUCUCUAUUUGGGGGCUAUUUUUAAUCCCUUCUCCAUCUUCCAGUUCUUUCCUAACAGAAUUAUGCCUCCCCACACCUCCGCCUUUUCCGGUUCAUCCAGCAUAGUACCAAUUAUAACACUGGCUUUCAUUUAUACCUCGGGUGUAUUAAUCCACACAAAGGUACCCUUUGGAGCGCAAGGUUAGCAUGUCGCAAACCGAUAGAAUCUGAAAGUUCUGUGU
This is a long non-coding RNA of Mus spicilegus (steppe mouse), 2323 nucleotides long. Lineage: Eukaryota; Metazoa; Chordata; Mammalia; Rodentia; Muridae. The record is from Ensembl.